CAGGCACCGAAAUCCCUCCCAAUGUCACCAUUUACAUCAACAAUCUCAACGAGAAAAUCAAAAUCGAUGAAUUGAAAAAAUCACUCCACGCGGUGUUCUCUCAAUUCGGGAAGAUUUUGGAGAUUUUGGCAUUCAAGACGCUGAAACACAAAGGGCAAGCUUGGGUCGUUUUCGAGGAUGUUAAGUCAGCUACUAAUGCUAUGAGGCAAAUGCAGUCUUUCCCCUUUUAUGAUAAGCCCAUGAGAAUACAAUAUGCAAAAGCAAAAUCGGACAUCAUUGCGAAAGCUGAUGGCACUUUUGUUCCAAGGGAAAAACGAAAGAAGCAUGAAGAGAAAGGAAAAAAGAAGAAAGAGCAGCAUGAUGCUAAUCAAGCUGGGAUUGGUCUGGCUCCUGCUUAUGCUGGUGCCUAUGGUGCAACUCCUCCGUUAUCACAAAUACCCUAUCCAGGUGGUGCAAAAUCUAUGGCUCCUGAGGCUCCAGCUCCACCAAACAAUAUACUCUUUAUUCAAAAUCUUCCGAAAUCUUCCCAGUGAGACAACUCCAAUGAUGCUGCAAAUGUUAUUCCAGCAGUACCCUGGAUUUAAGGAGGUUAGGAUGGUGGAAACAAAGCCAGGGAUUGCCUUUGUAGAGUACGGAGAUGAGAUGCAGUCAACAGUUGCAAUGCAUGGACUUCAGGGUUUCAAGAUACAGCAAAAUUCAAUGUUAAUUACCUAUGCCAAGAAAUAGUUAACGAUGCUUCUGUCUUUUGCU
RNAcentral lists this unclassified non-coding RNA (750 nucleotides) under Hevea brasiliensis (rubber tree). The record is from RNAcentral. Lineage: Eukaryota; Viridiplantae; Streptophyta; Magnoliopsida; Malpighiales; Euphorbiaceae.